Molecule: ribosomal RNA, 468 nt
Filed under: uncultured bacterium
Lineage: Bacteria
Description: partial 16S ribosomal RNA
Rfam family: Bacterial small subunit ribosomal RNA
Source: RNAcentral
GACGAACGCUGGCGGCGUGCUUAACACAUGCAAGUCGAACGGAAAGGCCCGGCGUUUGUGGGGUGCUCGUUUGGCGAACGGGUGAGUAACACGUGAGUAACCUGCCCUUGACUUUGGGAUAACAUCAGGAAAAUGGGGCUAUUACCGGGUAGAAUCUCUUGCAGCAUGGUGGUGGUUGGAAAGUUUCGGCGUUGGGGGAUCGACUCGCGGCUUAUCAGCUUGUUUGUGGGGUAGUGACUUACCAAGGCUUCGACGGGUAGCCCGCCUGGGAGGGUUACCGGCCUCCUUACGCCUACGAUACGGCGCAGUAGCCUACCUGACGCAGCAGUGGGAAGUAUUGCGCAACGGGGGGGCGUCUGAUGCAGCGGCGCCGCGUGCGGGAUGCCGUCCUUCGAGUUAUAAACAGCUUUGGCCUGUGACGAAGCGAGCGUGACGGUAAUGGGUAAAGAAGCACCGGCUAACUACGUG